Molecule: RNA transcript, 6084 nt
Organism: Siniperca chuatsi (mandarin fish)
Lineage: Eukaryota; Metazoa; Chordata; Actinopteri; Centrarchiformes; Sinipercidae
Exons: 8
Source: RefSeq, a predicted model, not a curated record
AGACUCCCAUUAGGUUUAAUCCAAGAGUAUUGUCUAAGAUUAGGAUAUGUAUCCCUCCAUAUAUCUAUCAAGGAAAAGGUGUUACAAAAAUCAAGAAAGGUACCAUUGUAAUGAGUGUCUGUGAAUUUAGUGGGAUAUCUAUCAAGAUAUUCAUCAGGUGCUAGAUUGAAAUCUCCUCCAAACAAUAUCAAAUCUGUGUGGUAUGAACUUUUAUAUUGAGAAACAACCUCUGUGAUUUCUUGUAACAGGGCCUUAUUUUGAUUGGCGUUAUUGUAACCAUAGACAUUUGUUAAGAUCAGGUAAAUAUUGUCCAUAUUAAUGACAGCUGUCAGCCAGUGACCAUUGUCAUCUGACUUAUAUGAGACUACAUUACCCGGGCACUUGUUAAAGCAGAUGGCUACUCCUGCAGAUCUGUUGCUCCCGUGGCUGAAGAGAAUUUUGUCCCCCCACUGCGUUGACCUGUAGGUGGCGUCAGAGGCACAUGAGUGAGUUUCUUGAAGAAGGACACAGUGGCUUUUAAAUCCUUUACAGUGCAAAAAAAAAAAGAAAAAGCUUUUCUUUUCACAUUGUCUUUUAAACCCCUUGUAUUGAGUGAAAUAAAACUUAAAUGGGCUUUCAGAACAUCCAUCUGCUGGAUAACCUUGCAGCAAUAAAAAAAAGAAGUUUAAGAGUAGUAAGAAGUGUCUUAAAGUGACUAAUAAACAGGUUUAUUCCCUCCUGAGAACAUUAUCCCACGUUGAAAAAAUGUGAGAGUAUACUUAGUCUUUGAAGCGCCGACCGUUGAUGUAUCCAUGUGGCCCUCGGAAAUAGGCCUUCUCCCCGGCUUGACGUGCCUGACUGAUGCGGGGCCACAGCGCUGCUCUCGCUGACCUGUCCUCCUUCGUGAGGUCUUCUGCAAGCCGAAUACCAGCGUUCUUGCAGACAUCAGAAACUUUGGUCAUUUUCCAGAACCCAUCCCUGUGUUGGCGUCUUGUGAACUGAAUGAUUCCGUUUCUCACUUUACUGUCUAACUUAGGACCAAUCCGGUGAACCGUAUCCACAAUCUCCUCCAUGUUUUGUGCCCAUUGAGGAGCUAUCUUCUUGAGGAGAUUAAUGACUUUGGCUCUGGUAUCUUCAUUCAUGGUCUCUUUCAUGCCUUUGAUCCGGAGAUUCCACCUUCUUUUAUAGCGGUCCUGUUCUCUGCAUUUUUCUUGCAGCUCAACAUUUUCAGCACGCAAUCGCUCCAAGUCUUUCUCCAUCACAGAUACUCUGCCUUUGCAAUCCUUGAUUUCAGACGCAUUAAAUUCGACUGCUUUCGAGAGGCUAGCAAGCAUUGCACAGUUCUGUGUUAGCUUAGUGUCCAUGUUUUCCAUUUUCGUUUCUAGUGUAUCAAAUCUCUUAUUCAACAAGUUUAUUGCAGCAAGAAUAGCAGAACUUGGAACUUCCUCUUCAUUUGACUUUGACAUUUUGCGAACAUGUUCAGCUUUUAUUUUGCAGUAAUGAUGAAGAAGACACAUUUAAGCAUAAAUAUAUGUUUUUUCCACCUCUGUCAUUAUCGCAUGUGGCCACUGGAGGGCGACAGAGACAGCCACCCUUACUGGGCGCUAAAUUCAAAACACAUCCUUAUGACAGUGAGUGUUCUGAAUGAUGAUGAUGAAGAUGAUGGGGAUCUAUGAAAACUUUGGAGACCCUUCUGCCUCAGUCAGACUCCGCUGACCAACAGUUUCCAUAUCAACAUCAACUCACCAGAGAAAAGACUCCACUGCAGUUAAAUAACAGCACGUUUCCACGAGUAGUUGAAGCCUUUAGAUAACAGAAAUCUUACGAGAUCAUUUUGGGUUUGUUAUUACUGAUUGUUUAUUUUUUAUUUAUCGGUUUGAGAAAUGUUUGGACAUUUUGGACAACAAUAUUCAAGUGUUGACUUCAUCUCAUAUCAGGAAGCCCACUGUGAGUUUCAUAAAAUGUCUUUUCCUGCAUCAGUUGUGAAAAUCUUUAUUUUCUGCAGCCAGGUCAGAACACAGCAGCUGGACUUCAACGUCAUUUAACAGGAACGAGCAUUUAACUCUUGUUAACUUCCUUAAAUUGUCUUCCAGCUGCAGAGUUCAGACCUGAGUUUAAGGUUUACUGGUUGGUUUUGAAGCUAGAGCAGCUGGAGCUCAGUUUCAUGUCUCUGUGUACAGAAGAACUCAUUUUAAUUCACUUCCAUUUAGCAUUGUUGUUGACUAUUUGUUGGGAUGUGUAUGUGUCAUGGUUUUGGGUUUGUGUUGUUAUUUCCUGUUUUAUUUUGGUAAGCAUUCUCCCUCAUGUGUCUUGUGUAGUUUUACUUCCUCCUGGUGAUUCGUUUGCUUGUCCUUAUUGGUUCCACCUGUGUCUCGCUGUCUCCCCUACCAGAGUGCAUUUAGUCUGUGUCCUUCCUUUGCUCGGCAUUUGGGUCCCCUUUUGAUCUGAACGUGACAGUAUGUGUUUGGCUUGAAUGGGUUUUCAGCUUUAAUGGAGUCAGUAACAGUCUUCUCUUUAUUAUAUCUGAUAACAAUAUAAUCUGCAAAUAAAGAAAUGUUUACCACUUAAUUCUACACUGUGUUUUGGGAUUCCUUCAUGUACUAACAGUGUCAUAAUGGAAAGUGAAUAUUGUUUCCUAUGAAUGUCCCGCCUCUACUAGUAGCACAACCUCCCUCCUCUUGUCCACUUCUAGUAGUAAACCUUCCCUCUGUUGGGUUGAACAGCUCUGUUCUCACUGGGAACUCAAAUGUGUCUAAAUACAGAUAGAAAUGCAGCCAAAGUGAGCUGAGCAUGCACAGAAAUCUAAUAACUCAGGCUACUUUCAGAGGCUUUGGAUGCACACGACCACCUACUCUGACCUAAUGUGAAUGUAAAUACAUUUCACACAUCUAUUUAUGCCAAACCAUUUCCUGUGAAAACAACAGGAACAGACCUGCUGCUACAUAUUGUGGAGGCCUGACGCUCUACGUCCCGGCAGUUAAAGACGGUUCAGUCUGGACGCUCAUCAAUGUUUUAACCCUUUGCUGCAACGAGUCUCAGUGACCCCAAACCUUCCAGGGGUUAAAGUAGUUUCCAAAAGAAUUCGAUAAGCGCCUCUUUGUCUCGUGUCCUAAUAAAGUGUGGACUGUCUGUUCCUGUGAGCCUCGUGUUUCUGACGUUUAUCUGGUCAUCAUUAGAGGGUAACACCUCCAGAGCUCUGCUGCUGCUGUUAACCACAUUCUCAUCUAAACACUUCCCCUUCAGCUCUCUGAGAAAAAGUAACUGAAGUCUUUUCUAAUAAACACUAUCUGAAGAAAACAAGUUGCAUUAUUGCAAACAUUUAUCUUAACUAACAAUCUUCACACCUUCGACUUCCUCUUCUUCUUCUCUUCGGGAGGUGAAACACUUCAUUGCCACAAAUACACAGCGGGACUGGACACAGUGUGAACUUUCACAGGAUCUUUGUCAGGCUGCUGCGACCUCUGACCUCUGACAUCUUUACUGAUGGCUGCAUCUCAUAUUGCUGAUCAAGAAUUUGGGGUCGCUGUCAGUCACUGUGGAUGAGACAAAACUACAUUUCAAAAAUGUCAAAGUGAAAAGAGUUUUUGGCUGUUUGGACAUUGACAAGAAAUUCUAAGAAAUAGAAAUCUAAAACAGACUAAAAGUCACUCUGAGGAAGUGACAUCAUACUAACCACAGGAAGUAGAUGCAGCAUCGCUCUACUAAAGCACUACUUUAGAGACUCAGACAGUUGUGAGCACGAGAACAAGAGACAGAAGAAGGAGAGAGACAGAGAAUCACGAUGGCUGAGUUCAAAUGGAUUUCUUUAUUUCUUAUAGCGGUGCUUCAGUUCACAGCAGCAGCUGAAAGACUUCCCCUCUCCUUCACUGUCAGAGUUGGAGAUGAAGUCACUUUGCCUUGUGAAAAUGUGACAGACAGUCAGCGAAAAUGUGACGGUACUACAUGGCUCUUCUUUGGUUCAGGAAACACAGCAGCAGUAGAUCUUAUUUAUCUUGGGCAGAUUGUUGAAAGAGCCAAAGCUCAAUCAGACAGACUGAGUGUUACAGCGAGCUGUUCUCUGGUUAUAAAGAACGUCACAGUCGAGGAUGUUGGUCGUUACUCCUGCAGACAGUUCAGAUCAGGAGACAAACAAGGUCCAGAUUCUGUGGUUCUUCUGUCUGUUGUUACCAUGACUGAACAUAAGGACACUGAUAAGGUGACGUUAAACUGCUCUGUGUCGACAUUUGAACCAUGUGGACGCACAGUGAAGUGGCUGUAUGAGGGUAAAGAUGUGGCUAAAGAUAACAAAGACUUGCUGACAUCACAGUCUCUCUGCAGAGCCUCUGUGAGCUUCCUGACUUCUCAUUACAGUCACACAUCGAGGUCUAACUUCCUUACAUGUGAAGUGACUGUUGGUAACAAAGUGCAGCUGUUUCCCUUCAGACUUCGGCCCUCAGGUGAGAAACCAGGUGAGGACACAACAACAGCAACAACUGAAUCAACAACAACAGCAACAGAAACAACAACAACAACUAAAUCAACAACUAAAUCAACAACAACUGAAAACAGCAGAAAAGCAGGUAUCACCACGACAGCGUCUGCAAUCAAUGAUGCUUCAACAGAACAAAAAGGUUGGUGGUGGUUGUACAUCAUUGUGGCUGUGGUUUUAGCUGCACUUUUAGUAAUCGCUGUAGCUGUCAUCAGAUGGAAGAGAACUAAAGGGAACAAAACACGGAUGAAUGACACUGUUGUGAGUUUAAAAACUGUUCUUCACUAUACAUUUUGAGUCUAUAGCUGAGAAAGGAUAAGACGAGAUAAACAGUACCGACUGUGUUGGAUUAAAACUACGCUGUUGCAGCAGCAAAGGUCAAGGAAGUGAUUGUGAGGAAAAGCAAAAAGGGGCCCAAAGCUCAUUUUUACUUUGCUAAUCCAGCCAUGAACACCUUCAAUUACAGCCUCUGAAACGCUGACAGAGUUGAAUCAACUCCUCUGUGACACAGUGUCAACACAAACACAACAUUAUCGGCUUCAUGGACGCAGUAUUUGUGGUGGUUGUAUUGGAUUGCAUGUCAAGUCAAACUGAAUUCAUCCGCUGGACUGAAGUUGUAGAUCUGAAGAUGUUUUGACAGUCCCAUCACACUACCUGUACCUGAAGCCUGCACAGAUGUGCUGCAUACGUUGCACAGGUGCUGUUCGGACUGUGCCCUGACAACAUGUGCAUUAACUGAACUGUAACAUGCUUGGUGACCAAAUGUGUUUUGCUGCAGGAGCUGACCUCAAACCCUGCAGUGACUCAGUCGGAAACCAGAAACCCGUCAACGUUGCUUGCAUUUGUUCUCUGAAAUAUAACUGUAUUUUACUGUCGGUACAGUCCUGAGAGCGUGAGAGUGUGCGAGAAAGAUAAAAAGGGAAGUUAGAAGAUGCAACUGGACUACACCAGAAGAGAACAUGAGAGUCAAACAGUGGGUUGUAAAACCAGGGUCAGAGGCCAAACCGCCACCAAAAAAACUACUAUACAACAUUUUGCGACAUCGUUUGAAAGAGACAUAACACGACCUUCUGGGCAGAAGUAACACAAUCUGAAAUGCUGACUGUGAUAAAAUAGAACGGGAUAAAGUUAGAAGAGCGAGUCAGUAUUAAUCCGCAUGUUACUGAGCCGCCAUCAUGUUGUCUUCUCUGUGUAGGCUGAUCCUGAAGAUGGUGUUUCCUACGCCUCCGUCAGCUACACCAGGAAGACCAAGAACAGUAAAGCCCGGGUAAGCUGUCUGAUCGGCUGUACUUGUGAUAUCAGUGAAUGAAGAAGAAACGUUUUCAGGAACGUCUCCCUUUUCACAUUCAAGUGCAUCAGUUUGUCCAACCCUUUGCUUGUGCGUUGUGUUGUACUGUGUUACAUUGUGUUCUAAUCUGCUGUGUUGGUGUGAUGAUGUUGUUUUGCAUGUUGUCACAUUGUCUGAUGUGUCGCUUUGUGUUGUUUUGCACGUCGUGUUGCACUGAGCUGCAGUGCACUGCGUUGGGUUAUGUUGUGUUUUACUGUUGGAUACCGUUAAUGCUCCUUCGCACUGUUGUCUUUUAUAGCGUGGUAGUGCGUGUCAUAUCCUGUUUCUUUAUUUAUAUUGUGCUGUUUCC